UAAUACGUAGGUGGCGAGCGUUAUCCGGAAUUACUGGGCGUAAAGCGCACGCAGGCGGUCUAGCAAGUCUGACGUGAAAGCUCCUGGCUUAACUGGGAGAGGUCGUUGGAAACUGCUGGGCUUGAGGCAAUGAGAGGGGUGUAGAAUUCCCGGUGUAGUGGUGGAAUGCGUAGAUAUCGGGAGGAAUACCAGUGGCGAAAGCGGCACCCUGGCAUUGGCCUGACGCUCAUGUGCGAAAGCGUGGGGAGCGAACGGG
RNAcentral lists this ribosomal RNA (256 nucleotides) under uncultured bacterium. RNAcentral's name for it is "partial 16S ribosomal RNA". It matches the Rfam family "Bacterial small subunit ribosomal RNA", at positions 521 to 776 of the family's 1533-position model. The record is from RNAcentral.